Molecule: ribosomal RNA, 253 nt
Filed under: uncultured bacterium
Lineage: Bacteria
Description: partial 16S ribosomal RNA
Rfam family: Bacterial small subunit ribosomal RNA
Source: RNAcentral
UACAGAGGGUGCGAGCGUUAUUCGGAUUUAUUGGGCGUAAAGCGCAUGUAGGCGGUUUGGUAAGUCUGAUGUGAAAUCCCAGAGCUCAAAUCUGGAAGUGCAUUGGAUACUGCCGAACUAGAGUACAGGAGAGGAGAGCGGAAUUUCUGGUGUAGAGGUGAAAUUCGUAGAUAUCAGAAGGAACAACAGUGGCGAAGGCGGCUCUCUGGACUGUUACUGACGCUGAGGUGCGAAAGCGUGGGGAGCAAACAGG